RNAcentral lists this ribosomal RNA (251 nucleotides) under uncultured bacterium. RNAcentral's name for it is "partial 16S ribosomal RNA". It matches the Rfam family "Bacterial small subunit ribosomal RNA", at positions 524 to 776 of the family's 1533-position model. The record is from RNAcentral.
GACGUAGGGCGCGAGCGUUGUCCGGAUUUAUUGGGCGUAAAGGGCUCGUAGGCGGUUUGUCGCGUCGGGAGUGAAAUCCACUGGCUUAACUGGUGGCUUGCUUUCGAUACGGGCAGACUGGAGGUAUGCAGGGGAGAACGGAAUUCCUGGUGUAGCGGUGAAAUGCGCAGAUAUCAGGAGGAACACCGGCGGCGAAGGCGGGCGCUGGCGGCGAACUGACGCUGAGGAGCGAAAGCUGGGUAGCAAACAGG